Molecule: long non-coding RNA, 310 nt
Filed under: Gossypium barbadense (sea-island cotton)
Lineage: Eukaryota; Viridiplantae; Streptophyta; Magnoliopsida; Malvales; Malvaceae
Description: long non-coding RNA (GBAR_LNC002956)
Source: RNAcentral
AAUCAAACAAUUUAUUCGCAAUCAAAUCGCUAUUGUAAAACCCAAAUUUUGCCCUGGCCCAAAAUCAUUUAGCCCAAUUUUUACAAAACAGAAACCAAACCAAUCGGCCCCAACAAAAAUACCAAAACAAUAAGCAAAAUAUAGACCCUAAAUUACAAGACCCCAGCCCAAAUUCCUAAUGGCCCAAUAGAGGCCCAAAACCUAAGUUGAUUCAGAAACACUAAGGUUUCUGAAACCCUAGGAGCGUUGCCCCUAGCCUCUGCCAAAGCCUGCCACUGCCAUGUCAACACCGCCCUUUUCACAUCUCCAC